Molecule: ribosomal RNA, 255 nt
Filed under: uncultured prokaryote
Description: partial 16S ribosomal RNA
Rfam family: Bacterial small subunit ribosomal RNA
Source: RNAcentral
UAAUACGAGGGGGGCUAGCGUUGCUCGGAAUUACUGGGCGUAAAGGGAGCGUAGGCGGACAUUUAAGUCAGGGGUGAAAUCCCGGGGCUCAACCUCGGAAUUGCCUUUGAUACUGGGUGUCUUGAGUAUGAGAGAGGUGUGUGGAACUCCGAGUGUAGAGGUGAAAUUCGUAGAUAUUCGGAAGAACACCAGUGGCGAAGGCGACACACUGGCUCAUUACUGACGCUGAGGCUCGAAAGCGUGGGGAGCAAACAG